Molecule: long non-coding RNA, 459 nt
Organism: Cynara cardunculus var. scolymus (artichoke)
Lineage: Eukaryota; Viridiplantae; Streptophyta; Magnoliopsida; Asterales; Asteraceae
Exons: 2
Source: RefSeq, a predicted model, not a curated record
ACUUUUAAGCAUGUUUUUUCAAAAAUCUUAGUUAUAGCAUUUAUGCCCAAAGUACAACUUGUUGAUUCAGUUGCCCAUCGCCCCUUCCAACGUUGAUGCUAUUGCUGCUCCCAAAAAAUCAUCGACUCCCAAUAAACGAUUCGUAGUCAAAUGUUGAUUCCGGCUCCCAAGUUUUGGAGACCGAACAAGAAAGUCGAGGAUCUUCUCAGUGUGGAGGGGUGACGUCCUUUUGAGUUUUUACUUAGUGUUGUUGGACGCUUGAUAGAUUUUGUUUACCUUUUGUUCCUUGUGGGUCUUGUUCAAAUUUGUCUGUGCUGAUUUCUUGUGAGUUCUUUUGUAGAGGCAUUAUUGACUUGAUUAUGAGCAACUAAAAGAGUGCUAGAAGAAUGUAUGUGACAAAUUCCAUAGUUGACACUCACAUCAACAUUUAGUUUGUUAAAUUGUUUUCCAAACAUCAAA